Molecule: microRNA precursor, 90 nt
Filed under: Propithecus coquereli (Coquerel's sifaka)
Lineage: Eukaryota; Metazoa; Chordata; Mammalia; Primates; Indriidae
Description: microRNA 203b (ENSPCOG00000001743.1)
Rfam family: mir-203 microRNA precursor family (bases 7-86)
Source: RNAcentral
GGACUCGCGCGCUGGGUCCAGUGGUUCUUAACAGUUCAACAGUUCUGUAGCGCAAUUGUGAAAUGUUUAGGACCACUAGAUCCGGCGGGC